GAUUGUAGGCUGAAACUCGCCUAUAUGAAGUCGGAAUUGCUAGUAAUCGCGGAUCAGCAUGCCGCGGUGAAUACGUUCCCGGGCCUUGUACACACCGCCCGUCACACCAUGAGAGUCGAUAACACCCGAAGCCUGUAGUCUAACCAUAUGGGGGACGCAGUCGAAGGUGGGAUUGAUAAUUAGGGUGAAGUCGUAACAAGGUACC
RNAcentral lists this ribosomal RNA (205 nucleotides) under uncultured bacterium. RNAcentral's name for it is "partial 16S ribosomal RNA". It matches the Rfam family "Bacterial small subunit ribosomal RNA", at positions 1296 to 1500 of the family's 1533-position model. The record is from RNAcentral.